AUCGAGCUGACGAGUCCAAAAUAGCACGAAACGUGCGUCCUGAAU
RNAcentral lists this non-coding RNA (45 nucleotides) under Schistosoma mansoni. The record is from RNAcentral. Lineage: Eukaryota; Metazoa; Platyhelminthes; Trematoda; Strigeidida; Schistosomatidae.